Oncorhynchus nerka (sockeye salmon) is the source of this 5400-nucleotide long non-coding RNA. RefSeq lists it as uncharacterized. NCBI's taxonomy places the organism in Eukaryota, Metazoa, Chordata, Actinopteri, Salmoniformes, Salmonidae. The record is from RefSeq and is a predicted model, not a curated record. The transcript is spliced from 2 exons.
AAGAAAAUGGGGUGCUUUCGUAAAUUCUCCCUGGCUAUCUUCUUGUCUGAGUGUACCAGAGCGCAGAAUAAUGCAUUUUCGAGCGCUCAACACCCGUUGAAUUUGGCCGGUUUAACGUCGGCAAAAAGGCAUAAAAGUUUUGCCAGCAGCACAGUUAGUCACCAACGCUCUGGAUAACAAACUGCCUAACCAAUUCUGCUAGGACAGGGUUUCACAGCUCUCUGUAUCUGAGGACAGAAAACAUCACAAAGAAACGGGGUUCAUUAUACUCAAAUCAGAGAGUACGGAAUAUUACGUUGCUAUAUGUCUUUUUUGUUGUUGCUAAGGACUGGAACUGAAGAAUCUUUUCAAAAUGUCCUCCCACAAAGGUACAUGCCCUAUCCAGAGUAACCUACUCCCCUUCUCUGACAAUUUUAGCUAAUAAUAAAUGUUUAUCAUUUUCAAAAUAUAUUUACUUACUUGAAUAGCUUCUCCAACUGCAUCUGUUUUCUGGGUCCUUAAUAAUGGGCAAUCUUCCCGAUGUUUCUGGUGGUAGAAAAACGCAGCCAGCCAUAUGGAGAUUGGAGGACUUCCACUUGGUGUGGUUGCUAGGUGAUUUGUGAUGCAACUGCAACCCCUUUAUUGGUAUAUUAACUCAUUUACCGCCUAGUGAUGACACAGGCAGGCAAAAACUCCAUCUGACCAAAGCAGGCUGAAAUUUCAGAUGGUCUUUUCAAACAGCUCUUACACUAAAAGGGCUUUUAAGUCAGUAUUAGUCCAACCUCAGCGUGGAAAUUUGUGACUUGUUUCGGGAAACUAGGCGUAUGUUGCACGUCACUACUUCACAGGAGACAUUUUUUGAUCAAAAUGCUUUUUUUGUCAGAAACGCCUUCUGGAACAUUCACGUGCCUUACAAAUGUGUAUGCCAUCUGUAAACACAUAAGUUUUAAAUUACGAGCGUAGUUGGUUUAGCCAUGGAAAAAGUCAGGAACCUUCCCACUAGCCAUGAUUGGCUGAGAUUAUGGAUGGGCUGGACAUUCUGAGAGAUGAGAUCAGAUCAGAUUGGUCUGCCAUGUAGCAUCUGUCUAUAACAUGAGCUGCACAGUAUGUGUAGGUAAUCCUUCCUAACAAGGAUUUUUUUGAAAGAUCGCUAACCCAGCUAGCAUGGACACUGACAGUUGUGAAUCUGAUGCAGCCAAAGAGCUAAUGCCCCCUUACUCGGGAAAGCACCAAACAGACAGGGACGUUGGACCCUCGAAGAGGCACAAAUAUGAUGAACUACAUUGAUUUGGGGUUCACUUAUAUUGGGAGUAGUGCCUUUCCUCAGCCACAGUGUGUUAUACAGUGCCUUGCGAAAGUAUUCGGUCCCCUUGAACUUUGCGACCUUUUGCCACAUUUCAGGCUUCAAACAUAAAGAUAUAAAACUGUAUUUUUUUGUGAAGAAUCAACAACAAGUGGGACACAAUCAUUAAGUGGAACGACAUUUAUUGGAUAUUUCAAACUUUUUUAACACAUCAAAAACUGAAAAAUUGGGCGUGCAAAAUUAUUCAGCCCCCUUAAGUUAAUACUUUGUAGCGCCACCUUUUGCUGCGAUUACAGCUGUAAGUCGCUUGGGGUAUGUCUCUAUCAGUUUUGCACAUCGAGAGACUGAACAUUUUUCCCAUUCCUCCUUGUAAAACAGCUCGAGCUCAGUGAGGUUGGAUGGAGAGCAUUUGUGAACAGCAGUUUUCAGUUCUUUCCACAGAUUCUCGAUUGGAUUCAGGUCUGAAGACAUCCUCUUCUGGAAACCCGGACAACAAGAGAGGAUAUUUUUAAAGUGCUGGACAGCUUUGUGACGUCAAAUGGACGUUGGUGGUCAAGAUGUGUUGGUAUCUGUACUGAUGGCGCAAAAACCAUGACACGGAGACAUAGUGAAAAUGGUUAACUUCGUUAAAGCAAGGCCCCUGAACUCUCAUGUAUUUUCAGAAUUAUGCAAUGAUAAUGGGCAGUGACCAUGUAACACUUUUACAACAUACAGACAUGCGCUGGUUAUCAAGGGGCAAAGUAUUGACACAUUUUUUAAAAUUGAGGGACAAGCUUAAAAACGUUUCUUUACUGACCAUUUUCACUUGUCUGACUGCUUGUAUGAUGAAUUUCUCACACGACGGGCCUAUCUGGAUUAUGUUUUAUCUUGCCUGAAUGAUUUGAAUCUAUUACAGGGACUCUCCACAACUAUAUUCAAUGUGCAGGAUAAAAUUGAGGCUAUGGUUAAGAAGUUGGAGCUCUUCUCUGUCUGUUAACAAGGACAACACACAGGUCUUUCCAUCAUUGUAUGAUUUUUUUUUGUGUGCAAAUUAACUCAAGCUUACGGACAAUGUCAAAUGUUAUUUAGCAAAUCGUCUGAGUUAGCGCAAUUACGCAGGUACUUUCCCGAAAUGGACGACACAAACAACGGGAUUCGUUAUCCCUUUCAUGCCCUGUGGUGCGUGGAUAUGUAUUCACCCCCUUUGCUAUGAAGCCCCUAAAUAAGAUCUGGUACAGGAAUUGGAAUUGAAGCGCCCAUACACUAAGCAGUAUACUUAAGCUUUUCAUAUUUCAUUCUAUUACCUAUACUACCUAUUUCCAUGAUAAUUUUCAUUAUGUUUUGUAGAUAUUUUGAUUAGCGUCUUCAAAUGUUGAUUGUAUAAAGGAAUUGUGUGGUCUUCAGAUGAAUCCAUAUUAUUCCUAGUAUUUUCAUUGUCGUCUUAUAAAUGUAUUGUUAAAAUAAGUCAGGUCGCCUUAAAAUACAAUUUCUGUCCCAUAACAGACUGGUGCCCCAAUUCACAGUAAUAAUUGUACACACUCCCUUACACAUGCUUCUCCUUCUAAUUAAUUAAAUAGAGGAUGGGUCAUUACCUGGUUCAUGACUGCAGUAAUGGGGUAAAGACAUCAGUGCUACCAUGUGGUUAUGACUUCGGUGGUUAGAACAUACCAUAGUAUCUGUUUGGACACAUCACCGAGUAGUCAAGCAUUGUGUGUCUGCUAGGUAACUCUGCACUCUUCUUAGAAAAGAAUGGGCAUCUCUCCACUUCUCACAGGAAACAAAGAAGAUGUACCGAUGUAUACAUUAAGACCCUCACAAACUUUCACAGAUGCACAAUUGAGAGCAUCCUGUCGGGCUGUAUCACCGCCUGGUACGGCAACUGCACCGCCCGCUUCCGCAGGGCUCUCCAGAGGUUGGUGCGGUCUGCCCAACACUUCACCGGGGGCACACUGCCUGCCCUCCAGGACACCUUCAGCACCCGAUGUCACAGGAAGGCCAAAAAGAUCAAGGACAUCAACCACCCGAGCCACAGCCUGUUCACCCCACAAUCAUCCAGUUGGCGAGGUUAAAACUGGUGCAUCAAAGCUGGGACCGAGAGACUGAAAAACAGCUUCUAUCUCAAGGCCAUCAGACUGUUAAAUAGUCAUCAUUAGCCGGCUACCACCCAGUAACUCAACCCUGUACCUUAGAGGCUGCUGCCCUAUAUGCACAGACAUGGAACACAAGUCACUUUAAUAAUGUUUACAUACUGCUUUACUCAUUUCAUACGUAUAUACUGUAUUUUAGUCAAUGCCACUCUGACAUUGCUCAUCCUAAUAUUUAUAUAUUUCUUAAUUCCAAUCUUUUACUUUUAGAUGUGUGUAUUGUUAGAUAUUACUGCACUGUUGGAGCUAGGAACACAAGCAUUUCGCUACACUCGCAAUAACAUCUGCUAAAUGUGUAUGUGACCAAUAACAUUUGAUUUGAUUUGAAGCCCUACAUCAGGGAUCACCAACUAGAUUCAACCGCAGGUCAAUGUCUUCUUGAGCGGAUGGUCGGGGGGCGGAACAUAAUCACCAAUCAUUUAUAGACGGCAAAUUGAUCAAGAAGACUAAACAGAUAUACACUGAGUACACAAAACAUUAAGAAUACCUACUCUUUCCAUGACAUAGACUGACCAGGUGAAAGCUAUGAUCCCAUAUUGAUGUCACUUGUUAAAUCCACUUCAAUCAGUGUAGAUGAAGGGGAGGAGACAGGUUAAAUAAGGAUUUUAAGCCUUGAGACAAUUCAGACAUGGAUUGUGUAUGUGUGCCAUGCAGAGGGUGAAUGGGAAAGACAAAAGAUUUAAGUGCCUUUGAACGGGGUAUGGUAGUAAGGCUGCUGGGUUUUUCAUCCUCAACAGUUACCCAUAUGUAUCAAGAUUGGUUCACCACCCAAAGGACAUCCAGCCAACUUGACAACUGUGGGAAGCAUUGGGGUCAACAUGGGCCAGCAUCCCUGUAGAACGCUUUUGACACCUUGUAGAGUAAAUGCCCGACAAUUUUAAGGUUUUCUGAGAACAAAAGGGGGUGGUGCAACUCAAUAUUCGGAAAAUGUUCUUAAUGUUGGUAUACUCAGUGUAUUUUAGACUAAAACAAUCAUUUCAAACCUACCAUUUGUACAUGAUAACAUCUCUCUAUUAUGCGUGGGAAUACUUGGGAACAGAUUUACAAAAUUAAAAAUCACUUGGAGGUGAUUUCCUGGUUAUCAUCUUUUAUGUCCCACAAUGAAAAAAGACUAAAAAAUAAAACAUGUUUUUUGUUUUUGCUCAGAAAACUUUGAGGGCCAAAUAAAACCAAUCGCUGCCAGUUGGGGAACCCUGACAUAUAUUAAGACCUAGAAGCCAUGGGUCCAUUACAACAAAAGAGUUGAACGUCGCACAUAACACUGUGUUAACCAAUGAUAUGUAUAAACCCUGGAACGCUGAUACUAUCUAUUGUCCAAUGAGAGGCUUUGAAGCCACCAGUGGGCCAUAUUGGCACUCCCCAGAAGAAGCAGUCAUCCAUGUAUCUCACAUAAUAUAAUUUCAAAGUAUGAAUAUAAAUAGCACACAUAGAACAGAUAUACAGCUUCUCAGACUUUCUUUAACUCACAUUUCUACGUGAAUUUGCCCAGGUUGCCCCAAAAGCUACCUACUGCGACUUUAAUGGACUGCAUGAAACAAAUAAAAUAAGGAGUGGUAAUGAGGUGACCAAAAAUGGUUGCAAUUGAGAUUAGUUGUGCCGGUAAAUUCAUCACGAGAUCAGCUGCCGAUAUCUGGUCACCAUCGAUGGUUGUAAUAGGCCCCCAUAUGUUUCCAUAUUGGCCACAUAUGUUUCCAAAGGCUGCGUUUACACAGGCAGACCAAUUCUGAUCUUUUUUCACUAAUUGGUCUUCUGUUCCAAUUAGAUCAGCCCUGAAAAAGAUCUGAUGUGAUUGGUCAAAAGACCAAUUGGUGGAAAAAAAUAUUUGUAUUGGGCUGCCAGUGUAAACGCAGCCAUGCUGAUCAUAUAACUGAUGCUUUUCUACUGAGAAUAUAAAUGUUAUGUAAGUGGAAAGUAUAAAAGGCUGGUUGAGACUCAUGUAUGUUGACAUUGUAUGCUACGUGUAUGCCAUUAAUUAAAGCCUUGAUUUGGAUUCAA